ACACUCCUGCGGGAGGCAGCAGUGGGGAAUAUUGGACAAUGGGCGCAAGCCUGAUCCAGCCAUGCCGCGUGAGUGAUGAAGGCCCUAGGGUUGUAAAGCUCUUUCACCGGUGAAGAUAAUGACGGUAACCGGAGAAGAAGCCCCGGCUAACUUCGUGCCAGCAGCCGCGGUAAUACGAAGGGGGCUAGCGUUGUUCGGAUUUACUGGGCGUAAAGCGCACGUAGGCGGACUAUUAAGUCAGGGGUGAAAUCCCGGGGCUCAACCCCGGAACUGCCUUUGAUACUGGUAGUCUUGAGGUCGAGAGAGGUGAGUGGAAUUCCGGGUGUAGAGGUGAAAUUCGUAGAUAUUCGGAGGAACACCAGUGGCGAAGGCGGCUCACUGGCUCGAUACUGACGCUGAGGUGCGAAAGCGUGGGGAGCAAACAGGAUUAGAUACCCUUGUAGUCCCAUGA
This 451-nucleotide ribosomal RNA is filed under the name uncultured organism. RNAcentral's name for it is "partial 16S ribosomal RNA". It matches the Rfam family "Bacterial small subunit ribosomal RNA", at positions 333 to 800 of the family's 1533-position model. The record is from RNAcentral.